Molecule: long non-coding RNA, 786 nt
Organism: Hyla sarda
Lineage: Eukaryota; Metazoa; Chordata; Amphibia; Anura; Hylidae
Exons: 3
Source: RefSeq, a predicted model, not a curated record
GCUAUGGGCAACUGCACCACUCUUUCAACAGUGUUUUGAUAAAUCUCCCCCAUAAUCUUUAAUUUCAGAUUAGCGAUCUACUGCGGUCAUGUGAUGUAUAGACCGCGCUUGGCUGAUAAUACUACAGUUUUCAGAGUUUUCUAUAGUAAUGGGCCAUUCACCUCUGUGAUCAUCACACGACCGAAACAUCCUCUGGAAGUAAAAAGUGGCUUAAUGACACAGCUUGGAGUUGGCAGCAUGAGGAGAACAUAUGGUGGCAGAAUGAGGCAGCCUGGAGGUGGCACCACCAUGAGAACAUAUGGUGGCAGAAUGAGACAGCCUGGAGGUGGCACCACCAUGAGAACAUAUGGUGGCAGAAUGAGACAGACUGAAGGUGGCAGUAGCAGCAUCAGGAGUCCUAAAAACUGACCCGGUGACAGAGUGGUGCAGUGGUUGGCAAUACUAGUACCCGGUGACGAAGGUGGGAGAACAAAGGAGAACUUGGCAUCAGAUGUGUGGCAUCAGGAGGGUGGCAGGAUCAGAAUAGUAGCUGAGGCAGUGCUCCGAUCCGAUCAUCUAUUUUCAGCUUACAAUAUCUUCCUCACAACUCAGCCGCACCUGAUGACUGGAUAAGAGGAUGGGAUACGAGGACAAUAAAGGAGGACGGGAUAUAAGGUCAAAAGCUUCUUCCUUUGUUGCUUUUCCUCCCCAACAAUAAUUAGAAAGUAAAAACUGGGCAAGGCCGUGUACUCAGCUAGAAUAUAUGUUUGUUUAUUUUUUUCUCUUUAUAUUUUAUGACAAACUGCA